RNAcentral lists this long non-coding RNA (4462 nucleotides) under Capsicum annuum. Its description in RNAcentral is "long non-coding RNA (CANN_LNC014197)". Lineage: Eukaryota; Viridiplantae; Streptophyta; Magnoliopsida; Solanales; Solanaceae. The record is from RNAcentral.
AUAAAUUAUUUUAAUAUAUCAUGUCUUAUAAUGGGAUUUUCUUUUAAGUAUGAGGUAUUCAUGUUCUCUAAAAGUGUUUGAAGGAACCGAUUAAUCUCCGGUCUUAGACGUUGGUCAGCCUGAAAGUGUGGUCUCAGCUAAGGUAAGCAUACGACCCUGUUGGUAGUCCCAUCACUAAGAUAAUACUUAAGAUAAGACUGUUAUAAAGCCAUUAAGACUUGAUUAGAUCCCAUAAGCCUUCGAUGUAUUAUUAUAAUUUAUUAUAGGUUGUAUCAUAGUUGAUAAUUGUUUUAUGCUUUCUUAUGUGAAAAUCUUUGCUUUCCCAGUCAGUCUCUAGACAGUAUUUUCAAAAUAUGAAUUCCAACGUUCAUUCCAAAAAUACUAUCAACCUAUCUUCUAAAGCAACUCAGAUUGCUAAUAUCGAAAAUAAUCUUCAAAACUGGAGUAUCCCAGAAGAGUCUUUUAAUACGAUUUAUCAAAUCGGAAAAUUUAGUUCUUUCAAAAAACAUAAUAUUAAGACCUCUGAGUGUACUGUUGCCAUCAAUAAUUCUUUGGAAAUUAUACAACUUCUUAAUGACCUCGACAUAAACUGAUUUAAAAAUAAGUUUAAUUAUCUGCAUAUCGGACUCGUUCAGGUGGCCAUAAAGCCACUUUUUAGACAAGGUCUAGACAUCCCUGUCUGUGCUAUACUAAGAGAUGCUCGUCUAUUAAAUUUUGAUGACUCACUCUUAGGAGUCAUUCAAAGUAACCUAGCCGACGGCCCGGUAAACUUUAAUUGUUACCCUAAUUUCUCAGUAUACAUUAAUGAUCCUAACAUCAUGGAUGUUUUAACUCUUAAUGUUAAAACAAAAAACAUGACCAGUAAGGAUAAUACUAGAGAAAUCGCGAUAAUAUACAGAGUAUAUUAUCGACUAAUGGGUACAACUCUAGCACCUCAAGCUAGAUUCACAAGUCCUAGGGGUGUCACCACACUCAUGGAAGCCAAUAAAGACAGAAGCAAUGUCUUUGUUCCCAAGCCCUUGGUUUGGGAAGAAGUCAUCCAUAGUAAUGAAUGGCACUUUGAUGCUAUCACCCAACCCAUUCGUACCUAUCCCGAAAAAUCUCAAAUACAACGAGUUAUUCAGCAUCCUGAUGGCUCGAUUGAUUUAAAAUUCCUCAGCUUUGACACUCCUCGGAACUCUUCAUUUCGACGAUCUGUUUCGAACCACGCUUCCACUUCAAAAACCAAGGAGGAAAGUGACGAAGAUGAUAAUAACAAUGACAAGGGCAAUGUAAGAGGAGUCGACUUCUCUGGCCCCGUCCCAAAAGAUUAUUAUCAGUCCACUAGGGUCCAUGAGUCCCUAGAACCUGAAAAUCCUUAUGACCCAGGCAGUCCUACAGCCUCAGAUAUGGAACCUCCCCCUUCCAUAUCCCGUCAGAAAAUUAGGACUGACCCCAGCCUACUCGUCAUCAAAUCUGAUGAAGAGUAUACACCUGACCUUAAAGCUCUUGAAGUCGGCUGGUACCUUCCUAAGGACGCAAUAAAAAGGAAAUGGUACACCAGUACUUAUUCCAAAGAACAACAAAAGGAGUUAGGUCGGCUAUGGAUAGGCGAUAUGAAAAGACUCCGAUGUGACAUAGAAUUCUUCCGAUGGUUUGAGUUCACCGGAAGAAUGGAAAACCAAAAUGAUUCCCUCAACGUUAUAAUUAACAAAUGGUAUACUCAGAGUAACAAGAUAGUUGAAUCCGUUACUCCUUCUCUUGAAGGGAUAAAAAUUCCUCAUUCCAAUGAAGUCCUCAAUGCUUCACCCUUCAAGAAAAAACAUGAUAGACCACUAUCGGCCCCUAUCAAUAGAGACCUCGAUAGGAUAGUUGAACAAAACAACUAUACUAAUCAGGUCCUUCACACUAUCUCCCAGCAAAUAGGAGAUACUAAGAACACGAUACUUCCUUUUAGUUCCCCCUCUCUUAAGAAAGGGACUCCAAGUCCUAAUCCUAUAGCCAACCCUAUCUUUAAGAUCCCUGAAUUCCAGAAGGAAAAAUUCCCUAAUCUCAGCGAUGACUUCAAAGUAUCGGGAAAAAUCUUGGAACAAAUCAACAACAAACUUUCCAAGUUUAAGAUCUCUAAGAAAGCAGAGUCCAGUAACCAGAAAAACUCUCUUUCUAAACUCACCAGUGAUCGUUUUUCCACUAAGAAAAACUAUUACAAAAAACCAUCCCCUCCAAAUGUUCAAUUUGAGGAAAAUCCCUACCUCUCAACCUUCAACCAUGAUGGCAGAGAAAUAACUGAAUGGAAUGUUGACGGUUUGGCUGAACACCAAAUCUACAACAAACUCCACGAAAUGGGUGUAUCCAUCACGGCUUACAAAAUUAGAGGAGCCACUAAUAAGGAAGCAGCUACCAUGAUCGCAUCAGGUUUAACUGGUAUGAUAAAGCAUUGGUGGGACAACUACUUCAGUGAUGACAUUGAAAACCCUAUCUAUGGAGCCACAACCAUAGAAACAGUAGUCAAAAGUGAAAAUAGCCAAGAAAUCCUAGAGCAAGUUGCAAAAGAAGACGCUUGUGCCACUCUCCUAUACAACAUAGCUAGACAUUUCAUAGGAGAGCCCAAAUUAUUCCAAGAUAGGAGCUUAGAAAUCCUCAACAAUCUCACCUGCAAGGAGCUAGCAGACUUUCGUUGGUACAAAGAUACCUUCUUAGUAAAGGUCAUGAUCCGACCUGAUUGCAACAAUGAUUUUUGGAAGGAACGAUUCAUUAGUGGUCUCCCUUCUCUAUUUGCAGAAAAGGUUAGAACCAAAAUUAAGGAUUGAUUCGAGGGAAAGAUUCCUUACGAUAUCCUAACCUAUGGCGACUUAAUUAGUUUCAUCACCACUGUAGAGAUAGAUCUCUACACUGACAUUAAACUUAAGAAACAACUUAAGAAAGACAGUACUUCCAAAUAUGGGUUAGGAACCUUAUGCCAAGACUAUGGUUUUACCAGUCCUAGCAAAAAACAUAGAAAGAAGUCUUCCUCCAAAUCUCACAAAAGGACCACCUCUAACAAAAGAUCCUUCAAAAAGGAAUCUUUUAAGCCCAGUAGAAAGACCAAACGAAAAACCUCUAAAACCAAAGAUACUUGUUGGACUUGUGGCAAGACAGGCCACAGAGCGAAGGACUGCAAGUCUAAUAAGAAAAAGAAGAUAAACCAAUUAGAUAUCUCUGAAGAAACCAGAGCAAGUUUAUUCUCCAUAAUGGAAGAUUCUUCUGAGUUUUCUGAGUCUUCGGACUCUUAUGCCUCGUCCAGUGAUGACUAAAGCGAUGAAGAAUUCAUCAACGCCGCUUAUGGGAUGGAUCAAUCCCAAUCUGGCCAAGAAUGUGCCUGUAACGGUACCUUCUGCACUUGCACCAGAAAGACUGUNNNNNNNNNNNNNNNNNNNNNNNNNNNNNNNNNNNNNNNNNNNNNNNNNNNNNNNNNNNNNNNNNNNNNNNNNNNNNNNNNNNNNNNNNNNNNNNNNNNNNNNNNNNNNNNNNNNNNNNNNNNNNNNNNNNNNNNNNNNNNNCCUUUUAGCAUGAAACAGGUUAUGUCUAGAUUUGACAAACCCGCGGAACCUUCUAUUGCUGAUCUCAAGGGAGAAAUCUCCACAUUAAAGGGUGAGAUCAAGAAUCUUAAAAUCUGUCUUGACCAAGUAGAACUUAACGUUUUUACAGAUCAAGUCCAAAAAAGUAUUUCUCCCCCAGAAAAGGUUUCUCUGCCAGAGUCACCUAAGACUUUUCCGAACAUCCCUAAUGAUCAUCUCCGAGAACUAGAGCCUAGUUCCUUUCUCAGCUCCGAUUCUCCCUCCACAUCCGGCAAAGCUAUUACGGCCAUAAAGGCUUAUAGCGAGCACAUAGCCGUAAAAAUUGUGAUAAAUAAGGACUUUGUUCUUAACAGAGUCGCACUCUUCGAUACAGGGGCAGAUAGUAACUGUAUCGUUAAAGGUCUAGUACCUACAAAGUACCUUCAAAAGAGUACCUCUCGUCUUUACUCAGCAACGGGAGAAAAAAUGGAAAUCCAUUAUCAGCUCCCUAAAGCUCAUGUCUGCAAUAAUGGCAUUUGCCUUGUUAAUGACUUUGUCAUCACCGAAGAUAUCACCGAAGAUAUCAUUUUGGGAAUACCUUUCGUCAAGUAUCUUUCAUACAAGUAGCAUAUGACUUUACUCAACUAUGCUUAUACUUUUAAUAAAUUAUUUCAAUAUAUCAUGUCUUAUAAUGGGAUUUUCUUUUAAGUAUGAGGUAUUCAUCUUCUCUAAAAGUGUUUGAAGGAACCGAUUAAUCUCCGGUCUUAGACGUUGGUCAGCCUGAAAGUGUGGUCUCAGCUAAGGUAAGCAUACGACCCUGUUGGUAGUCCCGUCACUAAGAUAACACUUAAGAUAAGUCUGUUUAUAAAGCCAUUAAGACUUGAUUAGAUCCCAUAAGCCUUCGAUGUAUUAUUAUAAUUUAUUAUAGGUUGUAUCAUAGUUGAUAA